GUCCUAUAUGAUAAUAAAAAAAAUUUAUCAUAAUAAAAAAAAUUAGAUAUAUAAAUUUUGAGUUAAGAAUACAAAAUGGUCCUAUAUGAAGACCGUUCUCUUUGAUUUAUCAAUUUAUUUUACUUUUUUUAAGUGGCAGUUAAUUAACAUCAUUUACCCACCACAAGUUAAAAACCUAACCCAUACGACCCACGCACGUUUCCUUUGUUCUACUUACUGCUUGGCCGCCUCCUCCUUCUCCAUUCUCUCCUCCAAUUUUUUUUUUUUUUUUUUUUUUUUUUUCUCACUUUAAUUCUUCUAGAUGAACAUAAGGUAUUCAUCAAUUUAUCAGUAACCUUAAUUCACUUUUAAAUUAGAAUUACUCAAGACUGGUGUAGGUGUUGCACUUGAAUUGAAUCGUCGUUGAUCUAAUGUUUCAAUUGAUGAAGGUGCUGCACCUGAAUUGUCUUCCGACGUCGAUCUACUGGUUAUUCUUAUAAGGUAUUUGCUCAAUUGCUUCAGAUGAAACUACAAGAAUUAUCGAAUACAACACUUGCUCUCGAAGAUCAAGAAUGGCUCAUAAAUGUCAUCAAAUUAAAUUGUGUGAAUGAAUGAAAGAAGUGAACAUUCAAUGUAUUUUUACUUUUUAUUGUAUCAUUUGUUUUUAUAUCUCAGAUCUACUGCGAGAGUA
Molecule: long non-coding RNA, 670 nt
Organism: Chenopodium quinoa (quinoa)
Lineage: Eukaryota; Viridiplantae; Streptophyta; Magnoliopsida; Caryophyllales; Amaranthaceae
Exons: 2
Source: RefSeq, a predicted model, not a curated record